UCCUGGUUCGCUCAGUUGGUAGAGCGCUCCACUGGAAAUGGAGAUGUCCCUGGUUCGGUUCCAGGACCAGGAG
Non-coding RNA from Ixodes scapularis (black-legged tick), 73 nucleotides. The record is from Rfam. NCBI's taxonomy places the organism in Eukaryota, Metazoa, Arthropoda, Arachnida, Ixodida, Ixodidae.